RNAcentral lists this ribosomal RNA (871 nucleotides) under uncultured bacterium. Its description in RNAcentral is "bacterial SSU rRNA". It matches the Rfam family "Bacterial small subunit ribosomal RNA", at positions 8 to 892 of the family's 1533-position model. The record is from RNAcentral.
AGAGUUUGAUCCUGGCUCAGGACGAACGCUGGUGGCGCGCCUAACACAUGCAAGUCGAACGAGAGAUGAGGAGCUUGCUCUUCAAAUCGAGUGGCGAACGGGUGAGUAACGCGUGAGGAACCUGCCUCAAAGAGGGGGACAACAGUUGGAAACGACUGCUAAUACCGCAUAAGCCCACGGCUCGGCAUCGAGCAGAGGGAAAAGGAGCAAUCCGCUUUGAGAUGGCCUCGCGUCCGAUUAGCUAGUUGGUGAGGUAACGGCCCACCAAGGCGACGAUCGGUAGCCGGACUGAGAGGUUGAACGGCCACAUUGGGACUGAGACACGGCCCAGACUCCUACGGGAGGCAGCAGUGGGGAAUAUUGCACAAUGGGGGAAACCCUGAUGCAGCGACGCCGCGUGGAGGAAGAAGGUCUUCGGAUUGUAAACUCCUGUUGUUGAGGAAGAUAAUGACGGUACUCAACAAGGAAGUGACGGCUAACUACGUGCCAGCAGCCGCGGUAAAACGUAGGUCACAAGCGUUGUCCGGAAUUACUGGGUGUAAAGGGAGCGCAGGCGGGAGAACAAGUUGGAAGUGAAAUCCAUGGGCUCAACCCAUGAACUGCUUUCAAAACUGUUUUUCUUGAGUAGUGCAGAGGUAGGCGGAAUUCCCGGUGUAGCGGUGGAAUGCGUAGAUAUCGGGAGGAACACCAGUGGCGAAGGCGGCCUACUGGGCACCAACUGACGCUGAGGCUCGAAAGUGUGGGUAGCAAACAGGAUUAGAUACCCUGGUAGUCCACACCGUAAACGAUGAUUACUAGGUGUUGGAGGAUUGACCCCUUCAGUGCCGCAGUUAACACAAUAAGUAAUCCACCUGGGGAGUACGACCGCAAG